This is an RNA transcript of Amphibalanus amphitrite, 3948 nucleotides long. It is a transcript of the gene named mannosyl-oligosaccharide 1,2-alpha-mannosidase IA-like, with no coding region annotated. The record is from RefSeq and is a predicted model, not a curated record. Lineage: Eukaryota; Metazoa; Arthropoda; Thecostraca; Balanomorpha; Balanidae. The transcript has 9 exons.
UUUCAACUUUGUUGAACUUGAAUGUCUUCACUGACGCGGCUCAUUUUUAACCAAGUCCAUCCCAAGGAGAUAGCUGGUGAAGCCUUCAGUGGAAUCCUCAGCAAUUGUAUGAAAACUUGAAGUGUGUUUUCUUAUCAUGAAAACGCAGAUGCCUACUAGUUUUAAAGCAUUCUUCUUGAUUUAGGCAUUUGAUCAGUGAGUGGUGCAGACAUUUUCAGUGCAGUGCUAAUUGUUUGAUAAUGAAGAUAGAAGCUGCGGGUGCAAUAUUACCAAGAUUCAUAAAGCGAUCUGUCUCAUCAAGUCCGCCUCGGUCAAGAUGCAAAUGCAGGGAAAGAAACCUACUCCUGUUGGUUGUGGGCACAUUCGCACUGAUCUGCUUCGGUACAAUAUUCUACCUGCCCGAUCUGGGAGAGGGACUGUGGCGGCUGGAGCGCCUGAAGCGCGUGCAGAAGCGCGUGGGUGACGUGGGCGGUGACCUGCUGCUGCCGGUGCCGCCCCCGGCCCCUGGACGGCCCGGGGCGGCCGAGGACCGGCGCCGGCUCUACAGCAAGGCGCAGGAGGCGGCGGCACCGGCCUCGGGCGGCUCAGCGGCCCCGGUGCCCCCCGAUCCGCUACACCCGGUCAUCUCGGGCGGCGAGGACCCCGACCCCGUGAUGCGCUUCAGACGCCGCAAAAUCAAAGAGAUGAUGCGUCACGCCUGGAAGGGGUACGUGACGUACGCGUGGGGCGAGGACGAGCUGCGACCGGUGAGCCGGCGCGGCCGCUCGGCCGGCAUGUUCGGCCGCCAGGCCAUGGGCGCCACCAUCGUGGACGCCCUGGACACCCUGCUCAUCAUGGGCCUGGAGCAGGAGUUCAGCGAGGCGCGACUCUGGGUCAAACAGAAACUCGACCUGGCGCACGUGACCUCGGAGGUUUCUGUGUUCGAGGUGAACAUUCGCUACGUGGGCGGCCUGCUCGCGUGCUUCGCGCUCACCGGAGACGCCCUCUUCAGAGACAAAGCGGAGGAGAUUGCUCGCGCUCUGCUGCCGGCGUUCGACACCCCCACCGGCAUACCGUACGCCAUGGUGGUGCCCGCCACCGGGCGGGCCAAGAACUUCGGCUGGGCCUCGAUGGGCGGCUCGAUCCUCUCAGAGUUCGGUACUUUACACAUGGAGUUCAGCUAUCUCUCGGACGUCACUGGGCAGCCCGUGUUCAGGGAGAAGGUGCGCCGCGUGCGCGACCAGCUGGCGCGGAUGGACACCCCGGGCGGACUGUUUCCCAACUACCUGCACCCGGUCACCGGCGACUGGGGACAGCACCACACGUCUGUGGGUGCGCUGGGCGACUCGUUCUACGAGUACCUGCUCAAGGAGUGGCUCCGCUCCGGCGGCGACGACCGCCAGGCGCUGCGGAUGUUCCAGCUGGCUAUGGGUAACAUCACCGACCGGCUGGUGAAGACCUCCGACCAGUCGGGCCUCACGUUCGUGGCCGAGAUGCACCGCGAACGACUCAGCUACAAGAUGGACCACCUGGCCUGCUUCAUAGGCGGGCUGUACGCUCUGGCUGCGGCCAAGGACCCGGAGACGGACACGGACCGUUACCUGGAGCUGGGCCGGCAGAUCACGGCCACGUGUCACGAGUCCUAUGACCGCACCGCCACCAAACUGGGUCCCGAGAGCUUCCGGUACGUACAAAACGUGACUCGUUUAUUGUCCAUCCCUUCCUGGCUGUUAAAGCGGAACUGCCAGCAGGAUGUUGUUUGCAAAAUUGGAACUAGAAAAUGGGUUGCAAAGAUCCUCAUAUAGAGCUUGCCCUUGUUUUCCUGCUGACGUUUGGCUUGAAGCAACAUUUAACUGUUCAGUAAUUUUCAAAAUAAUCAGACCUGUGCUAUGGUUAAUUUGAUAUCUUGAUGCACCCUUCGAAUGUUAUUGAACCGUUAAUAUUCUCAACAGAUAUCAGAGAAGAAACCUGACAAAUAAUAUUUGUCAGGUAUUAUCAUGCAUAGUUUCUGAUAGAUGUCAUGGUUAUCAGUGCUCGCCUAUCACCUAGAACGGCGCUGACAGUUGUAACGCGCCGACAGGUUCACGGACCAGGUGGAGGCACGUCCGCUGCUCCAGCAGGAAAAGUACUACAUCCUGCGGCCGGAGGUCAUCGAGAGUUACUUCGUACUGUGGCGGCUCACGGGCGACCCCAAGUACCGAGACUGGGGGUGGCAGGCGGCUCAGGCUAUCGAGCAGUUUUGCCGAGUCGAGGCGGGCUUCUCGGGAAUCAAGGACGUCGACUCGCUGUGGCCUGAACAUGACGAUGUGCAGCAGAGCUUCUUUUUGGCCGAGACGCUCAAGUACCUGUACCUACUGUUCAGCGACUCGGAGCUUCUCUCGCUGGACCAGUGGGUGUUCAACACGGAGGCGCACCCGCUGCCGAUCCGGGGGGCCAACCAGCUGUACCGGCAGACAGACGUCGGGUAGACGAACGGACACCCUCCGCUGGACAGUUGUGAGUCGGCUGGAGGAAAUCAUCUCCGUCAGCAGUGCCGAGUAGAUGCUGCAAACUCUACAGCCCUACCGUCUACAGUGCUGUUGUCGGCUAGAAGUAUAGGCACUAGCACUGCGGCUGUCAGCUGAUCUAGCUCUGUCCAGCAGCUAUCUAGUUGCGCUCAAUCCCAACAACUGUCUGGGACCCACCAAUAUUCGGCAGCUGUCUGAGGGCCUACGUCCUUUGUCAGACAGCUGUCUGUCUUUAUCGACAGGAUCGACGUUUUUGUGUUCUUGAAUUCAAGAACAAGUCAAUCAUUAAUGACUAGAAUUUUUGUUUAAUCAGCGUCAGCCCAUUAGUCCUGAUAUGUACAGGGUAAUCUUAUAUGUACUGCUUUGUACAAUUUCAGGUAUAUUGCCAUGCCUUUGAUAACAUCUUUUUAGGUAGACAAUCUUGUUAUAGUUUAUAUCACCGUGAAACAGUUCACUUUAUUAUGUCACCCCUGCAUUUUUACGUCCUUAGAUUCAGGCCAGCAAUCAAUGUGCCAUAUUAACAUUUCAUGAAUGUCAUUGUAGCACAGCUCAUAUCAAUGCUGAUUGUUGACGAGUUGUUAUGCGACUUUUAUAAACGUUUUAUUUGCGUUGCCAGUUGGAACUUCCGGUUCAUGUUAUAGAUGAACUUACUGGAAGAAUUGGGACAGUUCAAGCGUAAUUUUACGAAGUCCAUGAAUCCGAGCUUUUCAUACUGAUCUGCUCGUUGUGAACGGGGGCUGAGCCGUUCCUCUGCGUUGAUUGUCCAAGUGUCUGGGACGUCGGACGUUUGAGGGCAACACUGGUUGAGGGCAUUUGACUCUCAAUCGGUCCGUGUAACUCGCGCCUUCCCACGUGUUGGGGACCCGCGUUGGGCGAAGGCUGGCCUUUUCAGGCGCCACUAAGUGUUCCCACUGCACUAACGGCUGUGCUGAGUGCCUAGACCAUCGUGCCGAUGACGAUCGUCAUGUGACCGUAUUCGCGAUGUGAUUGUUAUCUAAUUCCCCAAUUGAAGUGAAAUCAGGUGUUUCUUGUGAAAUCAGUGAUCAGGUGAAGUGAAAUCAUGUGAAGUGUUCAGCUGGUGUCUGAACGUUGUGAGAGUUUGGAGUGUAUCGCAUCUACACUCACCGGCGUUUGACAGUCUUCCAUUGAUAUUGUGUGGAAUCUGGCUAAGUAUCACUGCAUCGUUGUGAAUGUAUCGCGCACGGGGAAGGGGACCACUCUAUGGGUCAUUCUUAAUUCCUGGUGAUGUCAACCAGAAUCAUGGCACUGUGAUUAUCUUACGUCCUUCUGGUUGAAUCACCAAUGUGAUAAUCGAUGAAUAACGAUCAUAUUCUGCCGCGUGUGUUGCGAUUUUACAUCAUUGGUUGUGACCAUUGAAAGGUCCUGAGCCUUCACUGCAAAUGCGCAUAUCAUCUCGCUGUCUCUCAUGUGAUCUCUACAAUAUAGACAUUUCAUCUCCAAA